GAUGAAGAACGUAGUGAAAUGCGAUAAGUAAUGUGAAUUGCAGAAUUCAGUGAAUCAUCGAAUCUUUGAACGCACCUUGCGCCCUUUGGCCAUUCCGAAGGGCAUGCCUGUUUGAGUAUCAUGAACACCUCAACUCUUCAUGGUUUUCCGUGAUGAGCUUGGACUUUGGGGGUCUUGCUGGCCUAUGGUCAGCUCCUCUAAAAUAAAUCAGCUUGCCAGUGUUUGGUGGGUAUCACAGGUGUGAUAACUAUCUACGCUUGUGGUUUUCCACCAGGUAACCUUCAGCAGUGGAGGUUCGCUGGAGCUCACAGAUGUGUCUCUCCUCAGUGAGGACAGCUCUUUGAAUGUUUGAUCUCAAAUCAGGUAGGACUACCCGCUGAACUUAAGCAUAUCAUAAGCGGAGGA
This 405-nucleotide unclassified non-coding RNA is filed under the name soil metagenome. RNAcentral describes it as "partial contains 5.8S ribosomal RNA, internal transcribed spacer 2, and large subunit ribosomal RNA". The stretch from base 1 to 121 matches the Rfam family "5.8S ribosomal RNA", at positions 35 to 154 of the family's 154-position model. The record is from RNAcentral.